Molecule: ribosomal RNA, 253 nt
Filed under: uncultured bacterium
Lineage: Bacteria
Description: partial 16S ribosomal RNA
Rfam family: Bacterial small subunit ribosomal RNA
Source: RNAcentral
UACGAAGGGGGCUAGCGUUGUUCGGAAUUACUGGGCGUAAAGGGCGCGUAGGCGGCCAUUCAAGUUAGGUGUGAAAGCCCUGGGCUCAACCUAGGAAUUGCACUUGAUACUGUUUGGCUUGAGUUCGGGAGAGGUGAGUGGAAUUCCCAGUGUAGAGGUGAAAUUCGUAGAUAUUGGGAAGAACACCAGUGGCGAAGGCGGCUCACUGGACCGACACCGACGCUGAGGCGCGAAAGCGUGGGGAGCAAACAGG